AUUGAACGCUGGCGGCAGGCCUAACACAUGCAAGUCGAGCGGUAGCACAGAGGAGCUUGCUCCUUGGGUGACGAGCGGCGGACGGGUGAGUAAUGUCUGGGAAACUGCCUGAUGGAGGGGGAUAACUACUGGAAACGGUAGCUAAUACCGCAUAACGUCGCAAGACCAAAGUGGGGGACCUUCGGGCCUCAUGCCAUCAGAUGUGCCCAGAUGGGAUUAGCUAGUAGGUGAGGUAAUGGCUCACCUAGGCGACGAUCCCUAGCUGGUCUGAGAGGAUGACCAGCCACACUGGAACUGAGACACGGUCCAGACUCCUACGGGAGGCAGCAGUGGGGAAUAUUGCACAAUGGGCGCAAGCCUGAUGCAACCAUGCCGCGUGUGUGAAGAAGGCCUUCGGGUUGUAAAGCACUUUCAGCGAGGAGGAAGGCGAUAAGGUUAAUAACCUUAUCGAUUGACGUUACUCGCAGAAGAAGCACCGGCUAACUCCGUGCCAGCAGCCGCAGUAA
RNAcentral lists this ribosomal RNA (506 nucleotides) under uncultured bacterium. RNAcentral's name for it is "partial 16S ribosomal RNA". It matches the Rfam family "Bacterial small subunit ribosomal RNA", at positions 30 to 523 of the family's 1533-position model. The record is from RNAcentral.